This 63-nucleotide transfer RNA is filed under the name Lutraria rhynchaena. Its description in RNAcentral is "tRNA-Arg". Lineage: Eukaryota; Metazoa; Mollusca; Bivalvia; Venerida; Mactridae. The record is from RNAcentral.
UGAGUAAAUGUCGUAAGGAGCGUGUACGAUUUCGGCUCGUAAGGUGAAUAAAUUUCUUUACUU